RNAcentral lists this ribosomal RNA (467 nucleotides) under uncultured bacterium. RNAcentral describes it as "partial 16S ribosomal RNA". It matches the Rfam family "Bacterial small subunit ribosomal RNA", at positions 28 to 506 of the family's 1533-position model. The record is from RNAcentral.
GACGAACGCUGGCGGCGUGCUUAACACAUGCAAGUCGAACGGAAAGGCCCUGCUUUUGUGGGGUGCUCGAGUGGCGAACGGGUGAGUAACACGUGAGUAACCUGCCCUUGACUUUGGGAUAACUUCAGGAAACUGGGGCUAAUACCGGAUAGGAGCUCCUGCUGCAUGGUGGGGGUUGGAAAGUUUCGGCGGUUGGGGAUGGACUCGCGGCUUAUCAGCUUGUUGGUGGGGUAGUGGCUUACCAAGGCUUUGACGGGUAGCCGGCCUGAGAGGGUGACCGGCCACAUGGGGACUGAGAUACGGCCCAGACUCCUACGGGAGGCAGCAGGGGGGAAUAUUGCACAAUGGGUGGAAGCCUGAGGCAGCAACGCCGCGUGCGGGAUGACGGCCUUCGGGUUGUAAACCGCUUUCGCCUGUGACGAAGCGUGAGUGACGGUAAUGGGUAAAGAAGCACCGGCUAACUACGU